AUCCUUUUCAGUUUGUAAGCAUGACGAUGGGGUGUUCAUGCUGUCGUGUGAGAUGUGCCUGCCUCUAAACCUUGUUAUGACAGUGGGUCCAUUACCUGUCUAACA
This is a small nucleolar RNA of Sciurus vulgaris (Eurasian red squirrel), 105 nucleotides long. Lineage: Eukaryota; Metazoa; Chordata; Mammalia; Rodentia; Sciuridae. The record is from Ensembl.